RNAcentral lists this ribosomal RNA (253 nucleotides) under uncultured bacterium. Its description in RNAcentral is "partial 16S ribosomal RNA". It matches the Rfam family "Bacterial small subunit ribosomal RNA", at positions 524 to 776 of the family's 1533-position model. The record is from RNAcentral.
UACGUAGGGUGCGAGCGUUAAUCGGAAUUACUGGGCGUAAAGCGUGCGCAGGCGGCGCGUUAAGACAGGUGUGAAAGCCCCGAGCUUAACUUGGGAAUUGCGCUUGUGACUGGCGUGCUGGAGUGUGGCAGAGGGAGGUGGAAUUCCACGUGUAGCAGUGAAAUGCGUAGAGAUGUGGAGGAACACCGAUGGCGAAGGCGGCUACCUGGCCCACUCUUGACGCUGAGGCGCGAAAGCUAGGGGAGCAAACGGG